This 296-nucleotide unclassified non-coding RNA is filed under the name Hevea brasiliensis (rubber tree). The record is from RNAcentral. Lineage: Eukaryota; Viridiplantae; Streptophyta; Magnoliopsida; Malpighiales; Euphorbiaceae.
CCCCCAUCAAUCAGAUCCUCGUAAACAAACCCGGGCGGGCGGCCGACCCUCGUGUGUUGCUGGGAGAAAUAGAGAAGAGAAUGUUGUUUUUUUGGUGGGUUGGGUCCCGUGAAGAGGGUAAGGAUGUGAGCAGUGAUGGUGUCAAUCAAUAACGCCUGUAAUGUGUCCAGUGAUCCCCACCGUUCGCGCGGCUUGUUUCCAGCAUAACGUCUUCGCUUGCAGUACAUNNNNNNNNCCGCGCUCGUUUCGUUUCCAAUAGUGGAAAUGUGGGUUUCCAAUUUGGGUGGAGAUCUUCU